This 404-nucleotide ribosomal RNA is filed under the name Fusobacteriota bacterium. Its description in RNAcentral is "Fusobacteria bacterium partial 16S ribosomal RNA". It matches the Rfam family "Bacterial small subunit ribosomal RNA", at positions 355 to 776 of the family's 1533-position model. Lineage: Bacteria; Fusobacteriati; Fusobacteriota. The record is from RNAcentral.
UGGGGAAUAUUGCACAAUGGAGGGAACUCUGAUGCAGCGACGCCGCGUGAGUGAUGAAGGAAUUCGUUUCGUAAAACUCUGUUCUAUGGGAAGAAAAGGACUGUACCAUAGGAGAAAGCUCCGGCUAAAUACGGGCCAGCAGACGCGGUAAUACGUAUGGAGCGAGCGUUGUCCGGAAUUACUGGGCGUAAAGGGUGCGCAGGCGGCUUUACAAGUUGGAUGUGAAAUAUUGUGGCUCAACCACAAACGUGCAUCCAAAACUGCAAAGCUUGAGUUAAGGAGAGGUAAGUGGAAUUCCUGGUGUAGCGGUGGAAUGCGUAGAUAUCAGGAGGAAUACCGGUGGCGAAGGCGACUUACUGGACUUAAACUGACGCUCAGGCACGAAAGCGUGGGGAGCAAACAGG